Unclassified non-coding RNA from Pongo abelii (Sumatran orangutan), 136 nucleotides. It matches the Rfam family "Metazoan signal recognition particle RNA". Rfam says of the family: The signal recognition particle (SRP) is a universally conserved ribonucleoprotein. It is involved in the co-translational targeting of proteins to membranes. Lineage: Eukaryota; Metazoa; Chordata; Mammalia; Primates; Hominidae. The record is from Ensembl.
GUCUACACUAAGCUUGGCAUCAAUAUGGUGACCUUCUGGAAGUGGAGUACCACCAGGUUGCCUAAGGAGGGGUGAACUGACCCAGGUUGAAAAUCGAGCAGGUCAUAACUCCCAUGCUAAUUAGUAGUAGAAUCAC